CUACGGGAGGCACCAGUGGGAAUAUUGCACAAUGGGCGCAAGCCUGAUGCAGCCAUGCCGCGUGUAUGAAGAAGGCCUUCGGGUUGUAAAGUACUUUCAGCGGGGAGGAAGGGAGUAAAGUUAAUACCUUUGCUCAUUGACGUUACCCGCAGAAGAAGCACCGGCUAACUCCGUGCCAGCAGCCGCGGUAAUACGGAGGGUGCAAGCGUUAAUCGGAAUUACUGGGCGUAAAGCGCACGCAGGCGGUUUGUUAAGUCAGAUGUGAAAUCCCCGGGCUCAACCUGGGAACUGCAUCUGAUACUGGAAAGCUUGAGUCUCGUAGAGGGGGGUAGAAUUCCAGGUGUAGCGGUGAAAUGCGUAGAGAUCUGGAGGAAUACCGGUGGCGAAGGCGGCCCCCUGGACGAAGACUGACGCUCAGGUGCGAAAGCGUGGGGAGCAAACAGGAUUAGAUACCCUAGUAGUC
This 463-nucleotide ribosomal RNA is filed under the name uncultured bacterium. RNAcentral describes it as "partial 16S ribosomal RNA". It matches the Rfam family "Bacterial small subunit ribosomal RNA", at positions 339 to 795 of the family's 1533-position model. The record is from RNAcentral.